AUUUCUUUUACUGUAAGGUUGCAGUGCUUUUAUCUCCAAAAGAAGACCUGUACAUCUUUAUUUAAGUGUGCACUCAGAGGUUGUAUCUCUCUUGGUUCAAAUUUGAAUGUUUUUGAUGGACUGCAUGGAAAUGACCCACUUAACAUAUUAUGGCUUUAUUGGAUUUGUAUUCAGAGACGAAGUCAUCCAGGGAAGCUCUGCUCUCGCUCACUGGCUAUGUCAGAGGGAAAGACAAGUCUUUCAGAGCUUCUGUGGAGGUGUGCUGCAUCUUUACAUUUUAAUGCUUUUUUUUCUUUAAGAUGAAGAACAAUCAUGAACAGAACUGUUGUGGCUUGCACUUUGAUCAGGAAAACAUCAGCGUGGCAGGUACAAGGAAAACAACCAACAUCAGUGAUUAAUCUGUCCUCAUCGCUCCUGUAAGAGCAAUUUGUGCAAACUCUCCAUCCUGAGAAAUGUUCAAAUACUAAUGGCACAAGUCCCUCUAAAAAUCCUCAGACGUGUUUCCCUUCCUUGGAUAGAACAGAAGAGAUCAGUAACAAAACAGAAGGACUAUAGCUACCCAUAAUAUAUUAUUUUUUGCAGUUACAUGCACACAAAGUCUUUUCCCUGCUGGAAGAUGUAAAUGGGAUCAUUUAUUUCUCCUCAUCUUUAGCUUGGCACCUUCCCCCGAAGUGACAGAGCACAAACUGUUCCUACAUCAAUGAGCAGUUCCUAUCCUCCUAUCUGAUAUACUGCUACCUUGUGUUUAUUGCAAUAAAAAUCCUGAAAUUUGAACUUUGCUCCCAUCACACUCAUUGUAGUGGAUAAAGACCUGGGACACUUCCCAUCUGUUUGAGUAAGAUCACUCAAACAGCAAGCUGCUGUUCAGCUUGGUUAAGCUGGAAAGAUCUGACCCCAGAAUAACCCAAUAAAGUUUGGCAACUGUUUGAAACUGCUAAAAGACCGGAGUGUUUUCUCCAGUAGAUGACUCAGUAUUUUUAUUCUCAGAUGGAAUAGGGACUAGAGAAAAGCUCUGUUCAGGAAAGCCGUACUGGAAACCUUUUCAAAGCACAGAGGUCAGUAGACAGCACAGAAACUCAGCUGCAACUCUUGCAGGAGUCAGUUAUCUGCUAAUCUACUGGUUUAAAAAUAGCUACAAGUGGAAACAAUUUUGAGUGAUGGGGAUGAUUUGCUUGAUCCUGACUAAAAACCACAAAUCCAUAGAAAAGCCAAAUUGAAUUGCUCUUGGUAGGAGAUCUUUCUGAUGAAAGGUGAUGUAAUUUGGGGCUGUUGGUAAACAAACCAAGAUGUUGAUUAAUGCAUAUGAUUUCCAAAACUCAUGGUGAAUUAAAAACAAGCCAAUUAGAAGACAAUCUGAAGAGUCAAACUGAUUUCAUAUACAAAAGCUUUUUGGUGUA
Lagopus muta (rock ptarmigan) is the source of this 1397-nucleotide long non-coding RNA. RefSeq lists it as uncharacterized. NCBI's taxonomy places the organism in Eukaryota, Metazoa, Chordata, Aves, Galliformes, Phasianidae. The record is from RefSeq and is a predicted model, not a curated record. The transcript is spliced from 3 exons.